GAUGAACGCUGGCGGCGUGCCUAAUACAUGCAAGUCGAGCGAACAGAUGAGGAGCUUGCUCCUCUGACGUUAGCGGCGGACGGGUGAGUAACACGUGGAUAACCUACCUAUAAGACUGGGAUAACUUCGGGAAACCGGAGCUAAUACCGGAUAAUAUAUUGAACCGCAUGGUUCAAUAGUGAAAGACGGUUUUGCUGUCACUUAUAGAUGGAUCCGCGCCGCAUUAGCUAGUUGGUAAGGUAACGGCUUACCAAGGCAACGAUGCGUAGCCGACCUGAGAGGGUGAUCGGCCACACUGGAACUGAGACACGGUCCAGACUCCUACGGGAGGCAGCAGUAGGGAAUCUGCCGCAAUGGGCGAAAGCUUGACGGAGCAACGCCGCGUGAGUGAUGAAGGUCUUCGGAUCGUAAAACGCUGUUAUUAGGGAAGAACAAAUGUGUAAGUAACUAUGCACGUCUUGACGGUACCUAAUCAGAAAGCCACGGCGAACUACGU
This 496-nucleotide ribosomal RNA is filed under the name uncultured bacterium. RNAcentral describes it as "partial 16S ribosomal RNA". It matches the Rfam family "Bacterial small subunit ribosomal RNA", at positions 28 to 506 of the family's 1533-position model. The record is from RNAcentral.